This 427-nucleotide ribosomal RNA is filed under the name uncultured bacterium. RNAcentral describes it as "partial 16S ribosomal RNA". It matches the Rfam family "Bacterial small subunit ribosomal RNA", at positions 355 to 774 of the family's 1533-position model. The record is from RNAcentral.
UGGGGAAUAUUGCACAAUGGGCGCAAGCCUGAUGCAGCCAUGCCGCGUGUAUGAAGAAGGCCUUCGGGUUGUAAAGUACUUUCAGCGGGGAGGAAGGUGUUGUGGUUAAUAACCACAGCAAUUGACGUUACCCGCAGAAGAAGCACCGGCUAACUCCGUGCCAGCAGCCGCGGUAAUACGGAGGGUGCAAGCGUUAAUCGGAAUUACUGGGCGUAAAGCGCACGCAGGCGGUCUGUCAAGUCGGAUGUGGAAUCCCCGGGCUCAACCUGGGAACUGCAUCCGAAACUGGCAGGCUUGAGUCUUGUAGAGGGGGGUAGAAUUCCAGGUGUAGCGGUGAAAUGCGUAGAGAUCUGGAGGAAUACCGGUGGCGAAGGCGGCCCCCUGGACAAAGACUGACGCUCAGGUGCGAAAGCGUGGGGAGCAAACA